This 279-nucleotide ribosomal RNA is filed under the name Keratoisis sp. K14375. RNAcentral's name for it is "partial 16S ribosomal RNA". It matches the Rfam family "Bacterial large subunit ribosomal RNA", at positions 2089 to 2473 of the family's 2925-position model. The record is from RNAcentral. Lineage: Eukaryota; Metazoa; Cnidaria; Anthozoa; Scleralcyonacea; Keratoisididae. RNAcentral also lists the same sequence under 17 other names.
CCCUAUCGAGCUUUACUGGAUACCGAUAGCGUUAAUUUAGAAUGAUCGAUACUAAGUAUCCUAAUUCUAAGUUAAUAAUUUUUGUUGGUAGGACAGUUUAGUUGGGGCGACUACCUUUGAAUAAGAAACGAAGGCGAGCUUAUGGUAUUAUUUAAAAUCUCAUUAGCCUCACAGUGAGGGGGACACCCCUAGCUGGCACACCGUAAGGGAUGUGGGCGAUAGUGACCCGAUAUGAUUAUCCAAAAUAAAUAUCGAAAGCGGAUAAAAGCUACCGUAGGG